UUUGAUCUCCCAGCAUUGCAUUUUUAAUGGACGCUCUCAACAUUACUUCAUUAAGAACUUUUUUCAGGAGCUCCGAGGGCCAAGGGGGUUGGGGGAGACUAAACAGCUAUUCGGCAAAGUCUCUCUCCAAACUUCAGCUGGGGCCUGGGAGGACCGGACUCUGGGCGGGUUUUCACAAAUGGAGAUGAGGCCGAGAGCAGCCGACUGCGACCACUCAAGAGAGGGCCUUCUGUACGCUCAGCACAGUCCUAAAGACCUUGCAUAUAUUAACUCUUAAACCUACAGCCACUCUACAAGGGGUGCACUAUUGUAACUCCCAUUUUACAAACCGCAAAACUGAGGUACACAGAGGCUGAGUACCUUGCUUGCCAAGGUCACCAACUAGAAAGUGUCAAGGCGGGAAAAAUGUCUUCAGAGAGCUCGGACUCCGAGCUCUUAACCACCAAGCCACUAACUUUCACCCUGUUGCCCACUGAUGGUGGUUUAACUGACUAGUGGGGGCAUCUUGAAGAAAAAGCUAACUCCUAUAACUAUGGAGAUGUGAAACGGCUCUUCUGGCCUUUUUGGGAAAGUAGCUAUCAGAUUCAACAAAAAGGGCUGCCUUCCAUCCUGCUUAGCCAGGCCCUGCCAGCCUUCCUGGGAAAGGAGACUUCGAAGAGCUCAAGGGAGCUAGAUAGGAAACAAGCGCUAAGGCACCAGAUCGCUUCGACGGUGCGGGCAUGUGCAGGCGCGAGUGCGUGCCAAGGGACUCUCUGGCCUCUGACUUGCAUCCGGGAAAGGGCUCCCUCGGGUCCCACGCUUCUCCAAGACUCAAACCCUGGACCGGACCGUGGUAAGGAGCAGGUCGGCCACGCCUCCGAUGAAACCACUAAGGUCUCUCCCCUUCUCCGCUCCCAGAGCAGCUGAUCUCAUCUUCAGAAGCCAGAUCGGGUUGGCCAAGCUCUGUGGUCGCCGCUCGCGUUCUAGAGGGGACAGCUCAUUGCGGGAGAAGGGCGCGGUGCGAGUGCAGGAUGUGCGAGGGACCCAUUGUUUUUGGGUCGCAAGCAGCCCACCCGUCUUCAGUACGAUAUUCUCUCCCGCAGUCUCGCCCGUGGGAGAAGGUGGGCCCGGAGGCAUCGCGUCCCCGACCCCUGAUGGAAGUGCGGAGGGCAUCCUUAUACGGCCCAGACUCCGAGUCCGCUGUAGUUAGGCUAACCUCUGACGCUGCACUGGGAGAUAGGUCAUCCCGUCCGUCGUCUCCCGUCCGUCCCCGGUCGCGGUGCGGUUCCGUGAGGAAGACGGGCAGAGAGGCCGGGCGCGAGCUGAUUAGGGGCUCCCCCACGGUCGGCGGCCUGGAGAGUGGAGACCGUGUCCGCCAGGAGGUGGGUGGGGGAAAGGAGUAGGCCGAGCUCUGCAGUGCGGUCUCGCGAGCCGGGGCCGCUAGGCCUCCAACACGGUUCCGCGCCCCUAAUGCCCCAGGGCGGUGAGGACCCCUCGGCGCCCCGCCCAUCUCUUCCUCCUUCCCGGCCCGCGCGCCCUGGGGAAGCGAUCCCGGGGGAAGUGAUCCCGGGGUCUGCAGUACCGGGGCAGGACGCGCCUUGCGCCCUGGGCCU
This is a long non-coding RNA of Macaca fascicularis (crab-eating macaque), 1592 nucleotides long. The record is from Ensembl. Lineage: Eukaryota; Metazoa; Chordata; Mammalia; Primates; Cercopithecidae.